CUUAGUGUAGGCACAUACAAAAUGUGAGGGGGUUAAACACCAACCCUCCCCUACCUGUGACAGAAGUUUAACAGUGCAACCAUAAAGGCAACAGUAGUAUACCGCUGUUCAAAACUCAUAAAUCCAUGGACAAAAAACAAAAUCGGGGUAACAAACUAAAACUAAAACUGAGGGAAACGCAUUAAAUAUAAGAGGAGAACAACCGACACAACAUUAAAAUGUAACACACACAGAAACGGACUAAUCAUUAGACAAAAUCCUAUGAGAAUAACAAAUAUAACAUCAAAACCAAAUACAGGAAUUUGGGAUAGAUAAGUACCGUGACACGUCUUAUAGUAAUGUGAAUUCACACUCAAAAAUAAGAGAAAACAAACGAUACAACGGA
RNAcentral lists this long non-coding RNA (385 nucleotides) under Mytilus galloprovincialis (Mediterranean mussel). The record is from RNAcentral. Lineage: Eukaryota; Metazoa; Mollusca; Bivalvia; Mytilida; Mytilidae.